ACUGUGUGUUGUUGGGUAGGGGAGCGUUCUGUAAGCCUGUGAAGGUGUGUCGUGAGGCAUGCUGGAGGUAUCAGAAGUGCGAAUGCUGACAUAAGUAACGAUAAAGCGGGUGAAAAGCCCGCUCGCCGGAAGACCAAGGGUUCCUGUCCAACGUUAAUCGGGGCAGGGUGAGUCGACCCCUAAGGCGAGGCCGAAAGGCGUAGUCGAUGGGAAACGGGUUAAUAUUCCCGUACUUGGUGUUACUGCGAAGGGGGGACGGAGAAGGCUAUGUUGGCCGGGCGACGGUUGUCCCGGUUUAAGCGUGUAGGUGUGUGUUCCAGGUAAAUCCGGUUCACUUUAACACUGAGGCGUGACGACGAGGCACUACGGUGCUGAAGCAACAAAUGCCCUGCUUCCAGGAAAAGCCUCUAAGCAUCAGGUAACAUCAAAUCGUACCCCAAACCGACACAGGUGGUCAGGUAGAGAAUACCAAGGCGCUUGAGAGAACUCGGGUGAAGGAACUAGGCAAAAUGGUGCCGUAACUUCGGGAGAAGGCACGCUGACACGUAGGUGAAGUGAUUUACUCAUGGAGCUGAAGUCAGUCGAAGAUACCAGCUGGCUGCAACUGUUUAUUAAAAACACAGCACUGUGCAAACACGAAAGUGGACGUAUACGGUGUGACGCCUGCCCGGUGCCGGAAGGUUAAUUGAUGGGGUCAGCGCAAGCGAAGCUCCUGAUCGAAGCCCCGGUAAACGGCGGCCGUAACUAUAACGGUCCUAAGGUAGCGAAAUUCCUUGUCGGGUAAGUUCCGACCUGCACGAAUGGCGUAAUGAUGGCCAGGCUGUCUCCACCCGAGACUCAGUGAAAUUGAACUCGCUGUGAAGAUGCAGUGUACCCGCGGCAAGACGGAAAGACCCCGUGAACCUUUACUAUAGCUUGACACUGAACAUUGAGCCUUGAUGUGUAGGAUAGGUGGGAGGCUUUGAAGCGUGGACGCCAGUCUGCGUGGAGCCGACCUUGAAAUACCACCCUUUAAUGUUUGAUGUUCUAACGUGGACCCGUGAUCCGGGUUGCGGACAGUGUCUGGUGGGUAGUUUGACUGGGGCGGUCUCCUCCUAAAGAGUAACGGAGGAGCACGAAGGUUGGCUAAUCCUGGUCGGACAUCAGGAGGUUAGUGCAAUGGCAUAAGCCAGCUUGACUGCGAGCGUGACGGCGCGAGCAGGUGCGAAAGCAGGUCAUAGUGAUCCGGUGGUUCUGAAUGGAAGGGCCAUCGCUCAACGGAUAAAAGGUACUCCGGGGAUAACAGGCUGAUACCGCCCAAGAGUUCAUAUCGACGGCGGUGUUUGGCACCUCGAUGUCGGCUCAUCACAUCCUGGGGCUGAAGUAGGUCCCAAGGGUAUGGCUGUUCGCCAUUUAAAGUGGUACGCGAGCUGGGUUUAGAACGUCGUGAGACAGUUCGGUCCCUAUCUGCCGUGGGCGCUGGAGAACUGAGGGGGGCUGCUCCUAGUACGAGAGGACCGGAGUGGACGCAUCACUGGUGUUCGGGUUGUCAUGCCAAUGGCACUGCCCGGUAGCUAAAUGCGGAAGAGAUAAGUGCUGAAAGCAUCUAAGCACGAAACUUGCCCCGAGAUGAGUUCUCCCUGAGACUUUAGGUCUCCUGAAGGAACGUUGAAGACGACGACGUUGAUAGGCCGGGUGUGUAAGCGCAGCGAUGCGUUGAGCUAACCGGUACUAAUGAACCGUGAGGCUUAACCUUACAAC
Molecule: ribosomal RNA, 1740 nt
Filed under: Salmonella enterica subsp. enterica
Lineage: Bacteria; Pseudomonadati; Pseudomonadota; Gammaproteobacteria; Enterobacterales; Enterobacteriaceae
Description: partial 23S ribosomal RNA
Rfam family: Bacterial large subunit ribosomal RNA
Source: RNAcentral